GGGAAUCUACCUUUUGCUACGGAAUAACUCAGGGAAACUUGUGCUAAUACCGUAUGUGCCCUUCGGGGGAAAGAUUUAUCGGCAAAGGAUGAGCCCGCGUUGGAUUAGCUAGUUGGUGGGGUAAAGGCCCACCAAGGCGACGAUCCAUAGCUGGUCUGAGAGGAUGAUCAGCCACACUGGGACUGAGACACGGCCCAGACUCCUACGGGAGGCAGCAGUGGGGAAUAUUGGACAAUGGGCGCAAGCCUGAUCCAGCCAUGCCGCGUGAGUGAUGAAGGCCCUAGGGUUGUAAAGCUCUUUCACCGGUGAAGAUAAUGACGGUAACCGGAGAAGAAGCCCCGGCUAACUUCGUGCCAGCAGCCGCGGUAAUACGAAGGGGGCUAGCGUUGUUCGGAUUUACUGGGCGUAAAGCGCACGUAGGCGGACUUUUAAGUCAGGGGUGAAAUCCCAGAGCUCAACUCUGGAACUGCCUUUGAUACUGGAAGUCUUGAGUAUGGUAGAGGUGAGUGGAAUUCCGAGU
RNAcentral lists this ribosomal RNA (520 nucleotides) under uncultured bacterium. RNAcentral's name for it is "bacterial SSU rRNA". It matches the Rfam family "Bacterial small subunit ribosomal RNA", at positions 120 to 674 of the family's 1533-position model. The record is from RNAcentral.